RNAcentral lists this ribosomal RNA (505 nucleotides) under uncultured bacterium. RNAcentral's name for it is "partial 16S ribosomal RNA". It matches the Rfam family "Bacterial small subunit ribosomal RNA", at positions 28 to 507 of the family's 1533-position model. The record is from RNAcentral.
GACGAACGCUGGCGGCGUGCCUAAUACAUGCAAGUAGAACGCACAGUUUAUACCGUAGCUUGCUACACCAUAGACUGUGAGUUGCGAACGGGUGAUUAACGCGUAGGUAACCUGCCUGGUAGCGGGGGAUAACUAUUGGAAACGAUAGCUAAUACCGCAUAAUAUUAAUUAUUGCAUGAUAAUUAAUUGAAAGGUGCAAUUGUACCACUACCAGAUGGCCCUGGUUUGUAUUAGCUAGUAGGUGAGGUAACGGCUCACCUAGUCGACGAUACAUAGCCGACCUGAGAGGGUGAUCGGCCACACUGGGACUGAGACACGGCCCAGACUCCUACGGGAGGCAGCAGUAGGGAAUCUUGGGCAAUGGACGAAAGGCUGACCGAGCAAGGCCGAGUGAGUGAAGAAGGUUCUCGGAUCGUAAAGCUCUGUUGUAAGAGAAGAACGGGAGUGAGAGUGGAAAGUUCACACUGUGACGGUAUCUUACCAGAAAGGGACGGCUAACUACGUG